ACACACGCAAACCUCCUCUGAUACCUCGGGGAUACCACCAGAACGGACGAUUUCCAAGCACAGCCAUGGCUAGCCUGCAUGGAGCUCUGACGGGGAACCAGGGAGUGUUCUUUGAGAGGAUUUUGGUGACUGCUCUCUAACAGUCCUAGCAGGUCAGUGUGAUCAUAAUAUGCAUUUUUACAGUUGUGGCAGCCGAGGCACAGAGAAGUUAAGCGACUUAUCCAACAUCACACAUUAUAUCGCUUGUGUAAAAUUAUAGACGGCCCCCCUCUCUCACCCUCCCCCCAGCUUCCUGGCUCAGGGUCCUCUAAGCAAAAUGCUAUAGCAGGAAGGGGAGAGGAGAUCAGCCGGUGGGAUGCCUGAGGAGAAAACAAAGGGAGGCUCUUAAAGUCAAGGCAAGCAUGGUGUCUCCGGGGACAGUGCCAUUUCUCCCCGGUGAAGUAUCAGUCAAGCUCCCCAGCCUCAGAGGCCUGUCCAGGGCUCCGCGCUGCCAGGGUCACAUUGCUCAACUGCCUGUAGGGGUGCUGCAGUCCUGGAAGGAAGCCCAGGCUGCCAGGCCCCGACAAUCUUCUACUCAAAGACAGAGGUGAAUGUCAUCCCUGGGUAAAUUCUCCUUCCAAUGACCUUUCCAAGUGAUCCUGUCUUCACUACAGUCCGUGAUGCCCAGGACUGGAUGCCUUAUCAGCAAAAUGCACCUCUUUUUAGUUUAUGCUGCCUAUUUUCCCUGAAGAAUGAAGCUCUGUCUGACCCACAUAAUAUAGGGGAAAUGUUUGUAACUGUGAGGUCACUGUCUUUUGUUGGAAAUUAAAAAGCAGAGAGGACAUAUGCCAACGCCCACCUCUGGGAUUUCUUCCCUUGUCUCUCAAUAGAGUAGUAGAGCCUCUUAGACCUCAGACCAUUCACCGGUAUCAUUGGUUGUCAAGACGAUGAACACUUCUAGCCCUAAAUCAUGUACUAUCACAGUCAUUUGGUUUAAAAAUAUAUGGACAGUUUCAAUAAAAUGGACGACUAGAUUAACUUAACUUUUUUUUAAA
Long non-coding RNA from Lutra lutra (Eurasian river otter), 1034 nucleotides. RefSeq lists it as uncharacterized. Lineage: Eukaryota; Metazoa; Chordata; Mammalia; Carnivora; Mustelidae. The transcript is spliced from 3 exons. The record is from RefSeq and is a predicted model, not a curated record.